This 502-nucleotide ribosomal RNA is filed under the name Staphylococcus aureus. RNAcentral's name for it is "partial 23S ribosomal RNA". It matches the Rfam family "Bacterial large subunit ribosomal RNA", at positions 1 to 495 of the family's 2925-position model. The record is from RNAcentral. Lineage: Bacteria; Bacillati; Bacillota; Bacilli; Caryophanales; Staphylococcaceae.
AGAUUAAGUUAUUAAGGGCGCACGGUGGAUGCCUUGGCACUAGAAGCCGAUGAAGGACGUUACUAACGACGAUAUGCUUUGGGGAGCUGUAAGUAAGCUUUGAUCCAGAGAUUUCCGAAUGGGGAAACCCAGCAUGAGUUAUGUCAUGUUAUCGAUAUGUGAAUACAUAGCAUAUCAGAAGGUACACCCGGAGAACUGAAACAUCUUAGUACCCGGAGGAAGAGAAAGAAAAUUCGAUUCCCUUAGUAGCGGCGAGCGAAACGGGAAGAGCCCAAACCAACAAGCUUGCUUGUUGGGGUUGUAGGACACUCUAUACGGAGUUACAAAGGACGACAUUAGACGAAUCAUCUGGAAAGAUGAAUCAAAGAAGGUAACAAUCCUGUAGUCGAAAAUGUUGUCUCUCUUGAGUGGAUCCUGAGUACGACGGAGCACGUGAAAUUCCGUCGGAAUCUGGGAGGACCAUCUCCUAAGGCUAAAUACUCUCUAGUGACCGAUAGUGAAC